UGUCCAGACUCCUACGGGAGGCAGCAGUGGGGAAUAUUGCACAAUGGGGGAAACCCUGAUGCAGCGACGCCGCGUGAGUGAAGAAGUAUUUCGGCCUGUAAAGCUCUAUCAGCAGGGAAGAAAAUGACGGUACCUGAUUAAGAAGCCCCGGCUAACUACGUGCCAGCAGCCGCGGUAAUACGUAGGGGGCAAGCGUUAUCCGGAUUUACUGGGUGUAAAGGGAGCGUAGACGGUGAUGCAAGUCAGAAGUGAAAGCCCGGGGCUCAACCCCGCGGACUGCUUUUGAAACUGUCAGGCUGGAGUACAGGAGAGGUAAGCGGAAUUCCUAGUGUAGCGGUGAAAUGCGUAGAUAUUAGGAGGAACACCAGUGGCGAAGGCGGCUUACUGGACUGUAACUGACACUGAGGCACGAAAGCGUGGGGAGCAAACAGGAUUAGAUACCCCAGUA
Molecule: ribosomal RNA, 448 nt
Filed under: uncultured bacterium
Lineage: Bacteria
Description: bacterial SSU rRNA
Rfam family: Bacterial small subunit ribosomal RNA
Source: RNAcentral